Benincasa hispida (wax gourd) is the source of this 726-nucleotide long non-coding RNA. RefSeq lists it as uncharacterized. The record is from RefSeq and is a predicted model, not a curated record. Lineage: Eukaryota; Viridiplantae; Streptophyta; Magnoliopsida; Cucurbitales; Cucurbitaceae.
UUUUCCUCUUCUUCAACAAAUGGUAAUGUCGAUAACGAGACAACUACGCGAUUUGGGCAAAUUUUGUCGGCAUCUCUUUCUUUAAGAAAGUUUCCACGCGUACUCACUUCCAUCUAAUCUCUAUUCUACAUUACGCCCUUUAACACCACCAGAUUUGCAGGUUUUAGGAAAUUUGGACACAUUCCAACAAGGAUCUAAGUCCUUUUGGAUUCAGAGAGACUUUGGACCAAUUUAGACACUUUUCCAGCAACAUUCUUCAUUCUGGCGUAGUUUCGGAAUUGUUUGGACACCUUCUGUCAAGACCUCAAGGUCUUUUUGUUUUAUAGGUUUCAACAUUUAGGCGAUAGAACCAGGAGUUAAUGACGAAAAGGAGCUUAAACAAGCCAAAACAGAGCUUGAUUACAUUAAACAAGAAGAAAGGAGCUAAAAAUGUUCAUUUUUCCUCUGCUUGCACAACAUUGUGGUGUCCUAUGGUACCAUGCUCUGCGUUGUAAGACAAAACGCCUCUUAUUCAUUAAAAGCACAUAGCUCCCCAGUGCUGCCUAAGAGCACCAUGACGCUCCGAACCUGAUGCGUGUGAGAUUUCCAUCAGCCAAUGUCGUGACUCUAUUGCGAUUUUAUAUAAAUACUAAUUUUAGCCGCAGGUCAUUUUAUCUUGGAUUUCAGUUGAUUGCAGCACAUUUUCUCUCUACUUCUCUUUUGUGUUAGUAAAUGUAUCUGAACUUU